UGAAGAAAAAGUGUGGGAUUUCAAGGGAUUAAGCUAAUAAAGGCCCGAUGUAGCUUGUGGCUAGCAGAUAUCGUCAAGGAUUAUAGUCGGCUUUACUACUCCAAAAACUGUAGGUUUACUGCCUUUGUGCACUUUUGUUCCUUGUGGGCCCACGAGUCACUGUAAAGGUGAGGUGCACUUGCCCAUGAUGAUAGUGGUGAGGGAGAUGGAUGGUGACACUACCUGUGUGCACGAUGUGGGGGGAUGUACACGAUGGCAUUAUUUUGUGCA
Molecule: non-coding RNA, 270 nt
Organism: Theobroma cacao (cacao)
Lineage: Eukaryota; Viridiplantae; Streptophyta; Magnoliopsida; Malvales; Malvaceae
Source: RefSeq, a predicted model, not a curated record